AUUGAACGCUGGCGGCAGGCCUAACACAUGCAAGUCGAACGGUAGCACAGAGAGCUUGCUCUCGGGUGACGAGUGGCGGACGGGUGAGUAACGUCUGGGAAACUGCCCGAUGGAGGGGGAUAACUACUGGAAACGGUAGCUAAUACCGCAUAACGUCGCAAGACCAAAGUGGGGGACCUUCGGGCCUCACACCAUCGGAUGUGCCCAGAUGGGAUUAGCUAGUAGGUGGGGUAAUGGCUCACCUAGGCGACGAUCCCUAGCUGGUCUGAGAGGAUGACCAGCCACACUGGAACUGAGACACGGUCCAGACUCCUACGGGAGGCAGCAGUGGGGAAUAUUGCACAAUGGGCGCAAGCCCGAUGCAGCCAUGCCGCGUGUAUGAAGAGGGCCUUCGGGUUGUAAAGUACUUUCAGCGGGGAGGAAGGCGGUGAAGUUAACAGCUUCACCGAUUGACGUUACCCGCAGAAGAAGCACCGGCUAACUCCGUGCCAGCCGCCGCCGUAA
This 504-nucleotide ribosomal RNA is filed under the name uncultured bacterium. Its description in RNAcentral is "partial 16S ribosomal RNA". It matches the Rfam family "Bacterial small subunit ribosomal RNA", at positions 29 to 523 of the family's 1533-position model. The record is from RNAcentral.